GAUGAACGCUGGCGGCGUGCCUAAUACAUGCAAGUCGAGCGAACAGACGAGGAGCUUGCUCCUCUGACGUUAGCGGCGGACGGGUGAGUAACACGUGGCUAACCUACCUAUAAGACUGGCAUAACUUCGGGAAACCGGAGCUCAUACCGGAUAAUAUAUUGAACCGCAUGGUUCAAUAGUGAAAGACGGUUUUGCUGUCACUUAUAGAUGGAUCCACGCCGCAUUAGCUAGUUGGUACGGUAACGGCUUACCAAGGCAACGAUGCGUAGCUGACCUGAGAGGGUGAUCAGCCACACUGGAACUGAGACACGGUCCAGACUCCUACGGGAGGCAGCAGUGGGGAAUCUUGCGCAAUGGGCGAAAGCCUGACGGAGCCACGCCGCGUGAGUGAUGAAGGUCUUCGGAUCGUAAAACUCUGUUAUUAGGGAAGAACAAAUGUGUAAGUAAAUAUGCACGUCUUGACGGUACCUAAUCAGAAAGCCACGGCUAACUACGUG
This 497-nucleotide ribosomal RNA is filed under the name uncultured bacterium. RNAcentral's name for it is "partial 16S ribosomal RNA". It matches the Rfam family "Bacterial small subunit ribosomal RNA", at positions 28 to 507 of the family's 1533-position model. The record is from RNAcentral.